CAUCGCCGCCACGAGGACGGCACCGCACCGUCCGACCGCCCGGUAGACGCAGUCCUCGCGCGUGAUCGCGCGCAGCCCGAGCGGGGAUUGCCGCGUCAGACUGUCUUUGCGGCGGCGAUGUGGUGGCGACGCCGUCACUGCCACGGCAGCGGCAAUGUGACGAAAGAGGUGCCCGGCGGCCGGCGCCCGACGGUAGGCAGACACAGCGCUGGCAAGGGCGCCGUCGGUGCGGAGCGAGACCGUGUCGAGAGCGUCGAGAAAGGUAUCGAGGUGCGCCGCGGCAAAGGUGGCCGUGGGCUUGCCGCCGCCGGGCAGGGCGCGCUUCGACAGGCCAAAGCCCGCCCCGCGCACGCGGCGCGCCAUGGUCCUCACCAUCUUGUCGUGCGCCUUUGUGUUCCACCCAAACACGUGGCGUAUGACGUCAUAGGCCGAGAUCUCGGCGCCGUCCUUGGACACGCGCACCGGCCGGAACGCCCCGUCGGCCGCUCGGCCUCGCGUCUGCUGUGUCGUGGGUUUGGCUGUAGGGCGCUGGCCGUCCAUUCGAGGUGGUGUGAAGGAUAGGGUUUGAUGGAAGGGCGAGUGGGCGAGGAUCACUCUCUGCGAGUUCCUGACGUGCACAGUGGUGGCCGUGUGUCUUUUCGGUUGUGUCGCGCUGCGCGUCGAUGCGAGCGGGUUUUGUGCCGUGCGAUCGCGAAUGACCCGAGGCGACCACAGGAAAAAAGUGGCACCGUCGACAAAAGGACCCACCAACCCCGCGUGCGCCUUUUUUCGGCCUCUCUUUUUUUUCCUUGUUGGUAUUUCCCCCUCCCCGGCGUUCCCAAUUCCCCCUUUACUUUUUUUGAUCAAAUUUUUUUGUCGAUCACCCAGCGCGACCUGCCCGCUGCCGCGUGCCGUCUUUCCCUUUGAUGUCGUUGCCGUCGUCGUGUCCUUUUUUUUCUUUCGGUGCGCGUGCGCGCGCGACAAAACUGCCUGCCUCUUGAUCGCCGACGCCGGUUGCAGGCUCUUGCGCGCGCCUCCUUUCGCCCGUCGCUGCCUCUCGACGCCCACCCGGCAGUGCAUCCUCAGCGCCCGCCGCCGCCACCACCCGACCUCUGCUCGAUGUUGUCGUUGGCGCGCGUCGACAGGGGUCCAAAGGUCGAGCACACCCACGCGUUGACGGCCUGCGCGCGCGCCGUGCGCAUCGGACGCUCGACGUCGCAAAAGAGCACGAUCCGCGGCCGGUCGCACAGGUUGCGCACCUCGUGCACGUACGUGUCGUCAAAGAGCAUGUGAUCGCCCUCGGCCCAGCGGCGGGCCUGGCCGUCGACGACGAGCCGGCAGCGGGCGUCGAUGGGGUCUCGCUCUGCGUCGGCCUCUGCUGGCACCGACAGGCCCAGGUGGUAGCGCAGGGCGCCACGGAACGGACCGCGGUGCGGGAUCACGACGGCGCCCGGACCCAGUAUGGAAAAGGUGGCCAGGCGCACCUCGGGCAGUGCGUCGAGCAGCGCGCACGUGAUCGGACAGACGGCGCGCGCUUGCGGCGACACGUCACCAUACCAACGGAUGGCAAAGCGCUUCCACCGCCGACCGGCGGGCGCAAUGCGCCGAAAGAGGGGCUCGUCGUCGACCGGCUCGGCGAGAGCCAUGGCGCGCGCGGCUUCCGCCGCAAUGUCGCGCCACGCGGCGCGCAGGGUCCUCCCGCCCGGAAACACCCGGCGCACCGAGAGCCACGGCGUCGGCGCGUGCCGUGCGUUGGCGGCCGCCCACACGUUGUAGGGCGCCACGACCCACGAACCCAGGCGGUAGUAUUCGACGGGGCGGCAUCGCACGCGCCUCCCGCGGCGCCGAUCCACCUCGGCCAGGACGACGAGCACCGCCACGAGCGCCAGGGCCAACGCCGCCAUGGCGGCCGCCACCAUGCCGAGGCCCCUCUUCGCGGCGCACGCCGUCUCUGUCGUGCGCAUCUCUCUCUUGCCUUUUAGAGAGAGAGCCCGGAGCCGACCCGCCGCCAGGUCUCUCUCUAAAAGGACCGUCGGUGCCCGCGCCUCUGGCGGGUCGCGCGCAAACUCGAAAGAAAAACACAUCAACGACACACACUACAAAGCACCCAACAAAAAAAAGAGACCGGCACAGACAAGAGGCAAAAGGCGCACGCCCCUUUCAUGCCCUUUUUUCUUUCAAUUCCUUCCCAUUUCUUUUUCUUAUGGCGUGCGUCGUCGUGGUUGCCAUGGCGCGUAAAAACAACCCCAACACGACACAAG
RNAcentral lists this long non-coding RNA (2240 nucleotides) under Pandoravirus dulcis. RNAcentral's name for it is "putative ncRNA". The record is from RNAcentral.